RNAcentral lists this small RNA (741 nucleotides) under Vigna angularis var. angularis. Its description in RNAcentral is "Non-protein coding transcript". The record is from RNAcentral. Lineage: Eukaryota; Viridiplantae; Streptophyta; Magnoliopsida; Fabales; Fabaceae.
UAGGGCAGCAUGCUAGGGAAGAUUUAAUCAGACUGCACGGUACAUGUAUAUAGCUACAUUCGAGAUGAUUGACGAUGUUAGCUUGUUAGGAUUCCUCCCUGCUAAGGGAUAUGUAUAGAUGAGGGAGACUAGCAUGUAUGUAUGCAUAUUGAGCAAUAAGACAAGGCUGCAGGGUUGACAAUUUGAACCUUUGUUCAUGUGUGUCCUUCGAUUUGUUAUGUUGAUAACUAGUAAUGUUGGCAGCACCACUGGAUAGAUUUUUUGAUAAAAAGAAGCCAAAUGUGUAAUCCACUCAUUACUGUUUGUUGGAAACAGCCAAAUGAGACAGCAUCAAAUAGGCGUUCUUAGUUAAAAUGGUUAAAGAAAUUGUUACAGGUCUUAUUAUUUAGCAGAGGUAAGAUAUUAAUAGAAGAAGCAUAUGUUAGUAAAUUUUAAAUUGGUCAAUUAGUUUUGGGUGAGAGAAUCAUAUUAAAUAAAUUUAGUAUUUGUUGUCAACUGGAAAAUUUGCAAUAGUGAAUCUGAACAUUGACAACCAGAAGUUGAGAUUUUCUUCAGUUAGCUUAAGAAUCUUGGGUCACUACCCUCCAUUCUGUCAUUGCAAUUCUUUUCUUUACCAGCUAAGCUAGUCACUAUUUUCUGUCAAUCAUAAAACAAAAGACCAAAAACAUAAUGGUAUAUUUAUAAAGAUAUGCCUAAUUAAUUGCAUCAUAAUUAUCACUAUCCUAAUUGAUAAAAUAGAAA